GCGCGCAUGCGCCGUGCGGUCCUUCGCCCCGGGCGCCCUGGCAGGGGGCGAGGCUCUGCGGAACUCCCGGAGCUGGCGCCAGGGAACAAGUCUCAGUGGAGAGCCUCGAAUUUUAAAAGUCUCAUUUAAGUAUUUCUUUUGGUUUUCCUUGUAUAAAUAUAGCUAACUUUUAAACAUUUCUUUUCCGGCUUGUGUUGUUUGCUUUGGACCCUUCAGCACCUAUUUUUAAACGUUAAGCAUUCCCCAGUCAGCAUGAAAGUUUUACUGUUAGUUUUAUUUUGUUCCUAUAAUUUUGAUUCCCCCCAGAAACUGCCACAGAUGAAAUCAAGCCAAUAGAAUUGAAAGCAAAGAUCACCUGGUGGCCAUGAAGCCGACCAUCCUUAGGCAGAAACUCCUUACCUGAGGAAUUUAGAGAUUACAAUGAUUCCACCUACAGAUGAUUAUGUAAUCCCAAUACCAGCCUGCAACAGCAACUUCCACAUAUAUGGGGCCUCUUGAUGGAAUCCGGUGUCUCCUGUCCCCACGCCAUCUGCAAUCAAUUGUGACUGCACUGACCUGCAUAAAAUUCACACGUUCUGAGAGAAAAGCAGUAUUUUUAGGACAAAGGAGAACAAAUCAGGAGCGUGAGAAAGGAAACUCUGCUGUCCCUGGACAACCUCCUCCUGAUUAGUCUGGCAUGAAAGCAAGGGAAAGCCAUCAAGAAAGUAACAGAAAACUCACAGGAUGGACAAAAUAUUUGUAAUUCAUAUAUCUGACAAGGGAUUUGUAUCCAGAGUGUAUAUAAAUGCAUAUGUACAUGUGUAUGUAUGUAUGAAUACUCUUACAACCAAAAAAACCCAAUCAAAAAAAAAGGGCAAAAGAUUUAAUAGGCAUUCUCAAAAGAAAAUAUACGAAUGACCAAUAACUGUAUGAAAAGGUCCUCAACAUCAUUAGUUAUUAGGGAUAUGAAAACCAAAACUGUAAUGAUACAUUACUUAACACCCACUAGGAGGAAAGCUAAAAUAAAAAACACAGUAACAAGUGUUGGUGAAGAUAUAAAGAAACAGGAAAUCCCGUACACGGCUGGUGGGAAUAUAAAUAUAAAAUGAUGCAGCUUCUUCAGGAAACAGUUUGGCAGUUUGGCAAAAAGCUAAAUAUAGAUUUACUGUAUGAGUCAGCAAUUCUCCCAAGAGAAAUGAAUGCAUAUAUACACAUAAAAACUUAUGUGAAUAUUCAAAGUAGCACUAUUCACAAUAGCCAAAAAGUGAAAACAACUCAAAUGUCCAUCAACCAAUGAAUAAACAGAUUCCAUUUUAUAGAAUAUUGUUUAGCAAUAAAAAGGAACAAAGUAUUGAUACAUGCUACAACACUGAAAUUUGAAAACACUAGGCUAAGUAUAAGAAGCCAGUCAUGGCUGGGUGCAGUGGCUCACGCAUGUAAUCGCAGCAUUUUGGGAGGCCGAGGUGGAUGGAUGACCUGAGGCUGGGAGUUCAAGACCAGCCUGGCUAACAUGGUGAAACCCCAUCUCUACUAAAAAUACAAAAUUAGCUGCGCAUGGUGAUAUGUGCCUGUAAUCCCAGCUACUCAGGAGGCUGAGGCAGGAGAAUCACUUGAACCUGGGAGGUGGAGGUUGCAGUGAGCCGAGAUUGCGCCACUGUACUCCAGCCUAGGUGACAGAGGGAGACUCCGUCUCCAAGAAAAAAAAAAAAAAGCCAGUCACUAAAACACAUGUAUUAAAUGAUUCCAUUUAUGUGAUCUGUCUAGAAUGGGCAAAUUCAUGGAGACAGAGAAUAAAUUAGUUGUUGCCUAGGACUAGGGUGGAAGAGGAGACAACCAGGGAAUGGAGAAUAAAUGCUAAUGUGUACAAGGUUUCUUUUUCUGGAGGUGUUGAAGAUGUUCUAAACUUAAAUGGUGGUGAUGGCUGCAUGACUCUGUGACUAUACCAAAAAUGAAUGCAUUAUAUACUUUAAGUGAACUAAUUUCAUGAUAUGUGAAAUUAUCUCAAUAAAGCCAUAAAAAUAUUAAAACAAAAAAAGUUUAAAAAAAGUCAAAACAAAGGCACUGGCACCAAGUCUUAACAGUGCCUUGAAGAAAGUCAGCGUUAAGUCCCAAAUAAAGUACUACUAGACACGAUUAUAUACCAUUGAAAGGCUCUUCUUGCAAGGGUUAAGCUAUGUCUGAAAAUAAAUCCAAAAGGAGUUCCAAUAUAAUUUUAAUGUCAAUGUUGUUAGAAAAUGAGAUGUUUUGAAGACUGAUCAGUGGCUAUAAAUUACUCACUUGGCUGUAAAUUACUCAUUUUUAUUCAUGGUUUUAUAAUUCAAGUACAUUCCUUAAAAAACAAAAAUACUCUUUAUCCCGUAACCUCACUUGCAUAAGUCUCAGAAGUUACACUGCAUAUGAAAUAAGGAAUAUGUGAUUAGAUAAAAGGAAAAGUUCCAAUAACAAAGGUACUGUAUUGUACACAGGCAUUAAUUGCUUUAACACACUGCUAAAAAAAUCUUUAAAAGUAAUUCUUACUAGGGCUGAAUUGAUUUGGAGGAAUGAGGAGUGACUGCUAAUGCAUAUGAGGUUUCUUUCUGGUAUGAAUAAAAUAUUCUAAAGUUGAUUAUGGUGAUGGUUACACAACUCUGUAGAUAUAGUAAAACCACUGACUUGUAUACUUUA
This is a long non-coding RNA of Homo sapiens (human), 2643 nucleotides long. RefSeq lists it as uncharacterized. Lineage: Eukaryota; Metazoa; Chordata; Mammalia; Primates; Hominidae. The record is from RefSeq and is a predicted model, not a curated record. The transcript is spliced from 4 exons.